Molecule: non-coding RNA, 306 nt
Organism: Eggerthia catenaformis
Lineage: Bacteria; Bacillati; Bacillota; Erysipelotrichia; Erysipelotrichales; Coprobacillaceae
Source: Rfam
UGCGAGAAUCAAUCGCUAGAAAUAGAGGAAAGUCCGUGCUAUCACUGACUGAGAUGUCAGUAGUGUGCGUGCCAGACCUAAUAAGUCUGGGCUUAGACGACAGUAGAAGCCUAAGUCGUAAGAUAGGGUGUAUACUUUAAAGUGCCACAGAGACUAUAUCUUUGCGAAAGCAAGGGGUGAAAAGAGGUAAACUCCGCGCGAUAGAAACCCAAAUUUCGGUAGGGGAGUCUGAUAGAAGGAAUUCAACUGACAUCAGAUAGUAAAACUAAGAUAAAUGAUUGAUUGAAAAACAGAACACGGCUUAUC